AAGACUAUAGACCUGCGGAGUACCUGCGGAAGGAUCAUUAUUGAAUUAUGUUUCUAAAUGGGUUGUAGCCGGCUCGUCAGAGCAUGUGCACGCCUGUUUGGACUUCAUUUUCAUCCACCUGUGCACCUAUUGUAGUCUUUGGUUGGGUAUCAAGGAAGUGGUCAGCCUAUCAGCACUUGCUGGAUGUGAGGACUUGCAGUGUGAAAGCUUUGCUGUCCUUUACUUGAUCAUGGAGUUGUU
RNAcentral lists this unclassified non-coding RNA (240 nucleotides) under soil metagenome. RNAcentral's name for it is "partial contains 5.8S ribosomal RNA, internal transcribed spacer 2, and large subunit ribosomal RNA". The record is from RNAcentral.